RNAcentral lists this ribosomal RNA (430 nucleotides) under bacterium. RNAcentral's name for it is "partial 16S ribosomal RNA". It matches the Rfam family "Bacterial small subunit ribosomal RNA", at positions 355 to 776 of the family's 1533-position model. The record is from RNAcentral.
UGGGGAAUAUUGGACAAUGGGGGGAACCCUGAUCCAGCCAUGCCGCGUGUGUGAAGAAGGCCUUAUGGUUGUAAAGCACUUUAAGCGAGGAGGAGGCUCUCUUGGUUAAUACCCAAGAUGAGUGGACGUUACUCGCAGAAUAAGCACCGGCUAACUCUGUGCCAGCAGCCGCGGUAAUACAGAGGGUGCGAGCGUUAAUCGGAUUUACUGGGCGUAAAGCGUGCGUAGGCGGCUUUUUAAGUCGGAUGUGAAAUCCCCGAGCUUAACUUGGGAAUUGCAUUCGAUACUGGGAAGCUAGAGUAUGGGAGAGGAUGGUAGAAUGCCAGGUGUAGCAGUGAAAUGCGUAGAGAUCUGGAGGAAUACCGAUGGCGAAGGCAGCCAUCUGGCCUAAUACUGACGCUGAGGUACGAAAGCAUGGGGAGCAAACAGG